GAAAGAAUAGCGAUAUAGUGAACAGAGCUUUUAACGCUUCGUACAAACGUCAGCCUUCAUUCUGUAGUAGAGAGAGUUUGGGGGAAAUUUUUACUCCUGCAGAGCAGUUGGACGGUACAUUCUAUACGUCAGAAGUAUUCAUCAAAGAGCUUACGUAAACACAAACAAACCUUGGUUUCAAUGCUUAACUUCUUUACAGGUGAAACUUCCAUACCCUCAAUAAACUGAUGACCAUCCGUUAAAUCUAACUUUAACAUACGACUGGAUGGCGACUGUCAAAUGAUAAAAAUAAAACAAUUUUAUUUUCUUACUCAACCUUUGUGUUGUGUCCAUUAACAUCAACAAGAACGUCGUUGGAAGGAAAAUAUGACACAUGAUAAAAUAGUAUGUAACCAGAUUGCAUGAAAAUGUUGAAUUGAAAUUUUCCAAGCAGUUUGAAUAAAUUAUCGUGCAAUAUA
This is a long non-coding RNA of Xenia sp. Carnegie-2017, 458 nucleotides long. RefSeq lists it as uncharacterized. The transcript is spliced from 2 exons. Lineage: Eukaryota; Metazoa; Cnidaria; Anthozoa; Malacalcyonacea; Xeniidae. The record is from RefSeq and is a predicted model, not a curated record.